AGCGAGAGAACGUUGCCGCAGGCAACGGCCCGAAGGGCGAGGCGCUUUAGCGCCGAGUAAUCCUUCCCCCACCACCA
This 77-nucleotide small RNA is filed under the name Klebsiella aerogenes. Its description in RNAcentral is "partial RtT sRNA". It matches the Rfam family "RtT RNA", at positions 56 to 130 of the family's 130-position model. From Rfam's summary of the family: This family represents a bacterial cis-regulatory element known as RtT RNA. The record is from RNAcentral. RNAcentral also lists the same sequence under 2 other names. Lineage: Bacteria; Pseudomonadati; Pseudomonadota; Gammaproteobacteria; Enterobacterales; Enterobacteriaceae.